GGAACACAGCCCUACCAGCACCUUGAAUAUGGCCCAGUGAGACCCAUUUCAGACUUCUGACUUCUAGAACUGCCAGGUCCUGGGGACCCUGCAGGGAACAAAAUGCCCGAGUCCCUACCUUCACUGAACUUAAUUUCUACUGUGGAGAAACAGAUGAUAAACACGUA
This 167-nucleotide long non-coding RNA is filed under the name Mustela putorius furo (domestic ferret). RNAcentral describes it as "lncRNA (ENSMPUG00000028570.1)". The record is from RNAcentral. Lineage: Eukaryota; Metazoa; Chordata; Mammalia; Carnivora; Mustelidae.